Molecule: ribosomal RNA, 429 nt
Filed under: Pseudomonadota bacterium
Lineage: Bacteria; Pseudomonadati; Pseudomonadota
Description: Proteobacteria bacterium partial 16S ribosomal RNA
Rfam family: Bacterial small subunit ribosomal RNA
Source: RNAcentral
UGGGGAAUAUUGGACAAUGGGCGAAAGCCUGAUCCAGCCAUGCCGCGUGUGUGAAGAAGGUCUUCGGAUUGUAAAGCACUUUAAGUUGGGAGGAAGGGCAGUAAGCGAAUACCUUGCUGUUUUGACGUUACCGACAGAAUAAGCACCGGCUAACUCUGUUCCAGCAGCCGCGGUAAUACAGAGGUUGCAAGCGUUAAUCGUAAUUACUGGGCGUAAAGCGCGCGUAGGUGGUUCGUUAAGUUGAAUGUGAAAGCCACGGGCUCAACCUGGGAACUGCAUCCAAAACUGGCGAGCUAGAGUAGGGCAGAGGGUGGUGGAAAUUCCUGUGUAGCGGUGAAAAGCGUAGAUAUAGGAAGGAACACAAGUGGCGAAGGCGACCACAUGGGGUCAUACUGACAAUGAGGUGAGAAAGAGUGGGGAGCAAACAGG